AUUGAACGCUGGCGGCAGGCCUAACACAUGCCAGUCGAGCGGAUGAAGGGAGCUUGCUCCUGGAUUCAGCGGCGGACGGGUGAGUAAUGCCUAGGAAUCUGCCUGGUAGUGGGGGAUAACGUCCGGAAACGGGCGCUAAUACCGCAUACGUCCUGAGGGAGAAAGUGGGGGAUCUUCGGACCUCACGCUAUCAGAUGAGCCUAGGUCGGAUUAGCUAGUUGGUGGGGUAAAGGCCUACCAAGACGACGAUCCGUAACUGGUCUGAGAGGAUGAUCAGUCACACUGGAACUGAGACACGGUCCAGACUCCUACGGGAGGCAGCAGUGGGGAAUAUUGGACAAUGGGCGAAAGCCUGAUCCAGCCAUGCCGCGUGUGUGAAGAAGGUCUUCGGAUUGUAAAGCACUUUAAGUUGGGAGGAAGGGCAGUAAGUUAAUACCUUGCUGUUUUGACGUUACCAACAGAAUAAGCACCGGCUAACUUCGUG
RNAcentral lists this ribosomal RNA (484 nucleotides) under uncultured bacterium. Its description in RNAcentral is "partial 16S ribosomal RNA". It matches the Rfam family "Bacterial small subunit ribosomal RNA", at positions 30 to 507 of the family's 1533-position model. The record is from RNAcentral.